GUUGGUCGUACCAGAAGUCAUUAAGUUAACCGCAAGGAGACAGGUGCCCAAGGUAUGAUCGAUGAUUGGGGUGAAGUCGUAACAAGGUAGCCGUAGGUGAACCUGCAGAAGGAUCA
Molecule: ribosomal RNA, 116 nt
Filed under: uncultured eukaryote
Lineage: Eukaryota
Description: partial small subunit ribosomal RNA
Rfam family: Bacterial small subunit ribosomal RNA
Source: RNAcentral